GUGAAGACUGACAGGAAGGCAGAGAAAGACAUGCAACAAAUAGCAGCAGAUCAGACUUGAACCUGGGACAACCACUCUCAACCAUGCGGCAUAUGGUUGCCUGCUCAUCCCAGUGAGCUAAACCAGCACCCUACAGAAGUCUUUUAUUUUGACCAGGUGAUCCUCUGAGUGCGGAAUGUCCAGCAACAAGAAUUCAAGCAGUAGUGAUGCUCCCAGACUCCCCAGACACAGACAGCUCUCUGGCAGUUUCCAGAUGUUUCACUCCAGAUUCCCAACUCAGGUAACCUGUAGCACUGUCAGGGCACCAUCACGCCCAGGCAAGUCUCAGCGUGGUGCUGUAUAAUGGUGGUGUAAAUUGACAGGGGGGAAAACACAUUUGCAAACGACUGUUGCAAUACAUCAAUAUCUGCUCUUUGGGCUGGUAUGAGAUCAUCACAACAAAGGAGUGAGGCGGGAAUGUUUGAAUGCGGUACCUCAGGCACCAACUCAUCUCUGUCUUUCACCAAGCUCACUAGCUAACCUCUUAAGCCCAAAGGGUCUUUCUGAGGUUCCUGCUCGGAAAUGAUAUGUCCAAAAUGAAUAGUGUAUUUCUCUGCAAUUAAAAUCUCUCUGUAAAAAGUCUUGGUAUCAAUAUAAAGCUAACACUUGUGAGAUUCUAUCAGAGGUGUAAAUAUUACAGCAGGUGUUACUGUGUCAAAGCAACUGAUGCUAGAACAUAGAAGAUUUUUUUCCUUGCCUAAUUUAUUUAUGGAUUUCAUUGCAUAUAACCCCUUUGAAAAUAUGCUUCAGUAGACAAUAAACUCCAGAAAACCAGUUACCAACAUAUAAACAUUAUCUGUGAAAAGAUUGAUGCUACUGAAGUGAAACACAGAAAUGUCACAGUGGGUUUUAUAAACUCAUAGUCAGGCGUUUUGCCAUUUGGCACAUUUUGGCACCAUCUGUGAGUUGAAAUUUCUUAGGUAUUGAACAGCAGAAACGAUAUGACUUUAUUUAUAUGCCUAAAAAUGCAUGUUUUUUGAAUAUUUUUUUAAAAAUUACCCACACACUCAUGUACAUUAGACCUUUUGUCCCUUUGCGUAAUUGCCAUUUGGAAAUAUCCCUUUUCCUUUAAACUCUGAGGGCCUGUAACUUUGGCUUCUAUUGGCCGAUUUGCAUGAUUGACCCCUCUUUUUAAUCAUUUGAGCCAAUACAAUCACGGUAAUGUCACAGUGUUUACAUCAGUUCCACCAAUCAGCAGCUGCAAGGCAGGAAAUACAUGUGAUGCUAAAUUUAUGACAUUCGCCCUUGUCCAAUCAAAUGUCUGUAACUGGGCAGAAAAUGGCGAUUUUUGACGGGAAAUGGCUCUUAGUCAUUGUGAGAGAUUGAGUUAGUCAGGAAACAAGCUGUAGUCUCAAAUGGAUGUUUUUGUUUUGGAAGCAAUGGAAAAAAAAUCUGAUUUCACAUUAUUGUUUUUUGUGGUCUUCUUUUGUGUAAAUUUUGGUCUGAGUGUGACAAAACUUGCAGUUUUGGAAUCUGUGAGAUUUCAACUUUUAGGAAAUGUAUUGUUUGAUUGGUUAGCCAGAGUUCCGUGCACAUGAGGCUCGGCUGUUUGUGUUUACGGUCAUUUCGCAAAAUGACAUAACUGUUUUUUGAAUUGUUUGUUGUUUUGCUGUGUUUGGUGGUCGUAGAAGAGGUUUAUAUGAACAUUUAGCAGAGUUUCUUACAUUUCUGUGGAUAUCACACAUGACGGUACUUGCAUAACGACCUUGUGUUACAGCCGAUGAAAUGGAAUCUCCACCCCUAUGUCCCUGGUACUGGGGUGCCAAGUAAGUUACUGUUGCCCUGGUAAACUCAAACAUUUCCACUCCACAGUCAAAUAGUUUUUUUGACCUGUGUUUGUGAUCUUUUCACAUAAACUUUCACCUGCCUUCCAGCUUCAUACAGCCUCCUCCUAAAGCCAUUAACAUAGUCUGCAAGGUUUACAGGAGGUGGUAGUGUCUUCGAAUCAUCCUAUAAAACUGCUAGAGAACCCCAAACAGUGGGACCAAAAACCAAUUCAUUUGGGCUAAACCCAGUACUGGCCUGGUUAACUUCUUGAGCUGCUAGCAUGAGCCAAGGCAGUCCCUCGUCCCAGUCACGGUCCAGGUUUGUACAAUAAGCACACAACAAGAAAUUCAGGGUUUGAUGAAACCUUUCAAAAGCUACCUGACUUUUUGAAUGGUAAGAAGUGGACUGGGCAUUUUUCACCUGAAACAGCUUCCAUAUCUCUCCAAACAUUUUUGAUGUGAAAUUUGUCCCUCGAUCACUCUGAACAAUCUUUAGGAUGUCAAAAAACAGAGAUAAACUGAGGCAGUGCUUUAACCAGUGGUAAUGUUGCUUAUCAGGUAGGCAGCCAGGUAAUAAGUACUUAACUACAUCACAGUUAAUAAAUACAUACAUACAUACAUACAUUUCCUGCUUUUGACAUAGGUAAUGUGGCCACGCAGUCAAUAAGCAAAUGCUCAAAAGGCGUGGAAAUUUCUGGAACAGGACACAAAGGUGCAGGCUUAUCUGCUUGAAUAGGCUCUACAGUCAGCUGACAAAUGUGGCAUGUUCUAAUGUAUUUGGAAAUUCUCUUUUGGCCCCCCAAAAAGGCACAGAACUCUAUCAUAGUAAUGUAACUACUCGUUACAUUACGUUUCUCCACAAAAUGACCCU
Long non-coding RNA from Oreochromis niloticus (Nile tilapia), 2676 nucleotides. RefSeq lists it as uncharacterized. The transcript is spliced from 3 exons. The record is from RefSeq and is a predicted model, not a curated record. Lineage: Eukaryota; Metazoa; Chordata; Actinopteri; Cichliformes; Cichlidae.